RNAcentral lists this ribosomal RNA (330 nucleotides) under uncultured eukaryote. RNAcentral's name for it is "partial 18S ribosomal RNA". It matches the Rfam family "Eukaryotic small subunit ribosomal RNA", at positions 1470 to 1796 of the family's 1831-position model. The record is from RNAcentral.
CCCUUAGAUGUCCUGGGCCGCACGCGCGUUACACUGAUGCAUUCAACGAGCUUAUAACCUUGGCCGAGAGGCCUGGGCAAUCUUGUUAACGUGCAUCGUGAUAGGGAUAGAUUAUUGAAAUUAGUAAUCCUGAACGAGGAAUUCCUAGUAAGUCCCAGUCAACAGCUGGUACUGAUUACGUCCCUGCCCUUUGUACACACCGCCCGUCGCUACUACUGAUUGGACGUUUAAGCAAGAUUUUUAAACACUGACAGUUAAUGGCUUCGGCCAAGACACAGUGAGAAGAAGAAGAUCGAGCUUACUUGUCUAGAGGAAGUAAAAGUCGUAACA